UACGUAGGGUGCAAGCGUUAUCCGGAAUUAUUGGGCGUAAAGAGCUCGUAGGCGGUUUGUCGCGUCUGCUGUGAAAACCUAAGGCUCAACCUUGGGCUUGCAGUGGGUACGGGCAGACUAGAGUGCGGUAGGGGUGACUGGAAUUCCUGGUGUAGCGGUGGAAUGCGCAGAUAUCAGGAGGAACACCGAUGGCGAAGGCAGGUCACUGGGCCGCAACUGACGCUGAGGAGCGAAAGCAUGGGGGAGCGAACAGG
This 254-nucleotide ribosomal RNA is filed under the name uncultured bacterium. Its description in RNAcentral is "partial 16S ribosomal RNA". It matches the Rfam family "Bacterial small subunit ribosomal RNA", at positions 524 to 776 of the family's 1533-position model. The record is from RNAcentral.